GAUUCGCAAGAGGCGAGGAAAAUAGCUAUGCUACCAGGGACCAUUACGAUGGUCUAUUAGUAUUUUCUAAAGACUUCAUUUAGUUACCAUGGAAAAGUAUUGUGACACUGAAGCACAUGGCUGCAGCUUGCAGUUGUUCCAGAUGUUGAAGAAAAAUCUAGAAGAUGCCACAUAAAACAGCACAGAAGUCGAAGACAUGACAAAAAAAAUAUCCUAUAUGAUACCAGGAACAUUCGCAAUAAGACAGGGAGAGAUGCUGGAAGAAAAAGGAGAAAGGAGAAGUGAAAUCUAUCUCUGAGCUGACAAAGCCAGAAAAAAGAAGCAAGAGAAGGCAAUGGAAAUGCAACCAACGGAAUAGAAGACAGGCAGGCUUGAAAGAGAGCAGUUGCAAUGGAGACCUACCUAUCAGGCAUGCAACACAACACCUCAGUCACCACAUGACUUGCAGCCAGAACAUGAGGCCAACAUACCUGCCCCUGAUGCACACCCUGAUACCCCUUCCUCAUCGUCUGCAACAGGAAUGAGAAGUCAAAUACUUGCUGGAAGUAAAAAGGUUUGAAGGGGUCAUCCAAAAACAUACACAGAUCUUUGCAUGACAAUGUCAAACUUGAUAAUGCAUUACAGAAAGCUGAGAAAAACUGAUGAAGAAAAUGGGUUGAAAGAUUCCCCAAAGACAACAAGAAAGGGAACUGAAGGGAACUCCAAAGAACUUGAGAUGGACUUUAUUUUAUUGUUUCAAAAUGCCAUCAUUGCAGAGUUAAAGCAAAAAUAUUUAAAAAAUGUGCAUUGCCAAGGACAAACAACUGGCUUAAAAAAUGCUUAGAGGCAACAUCCUGAGAAAAUAUGGCCUGGUCAAAGCCGCAAACGGAUCAUUUGAAUUUUCAGCAAAAGCAAUGAGGGCAAAUGAAAACAGGUCAACAAGUCUUCAAUACUCCAGGAAAAAGCAGUGUAACAUAAUUAGCACAGCCACAGAAGAGAAAAUCACUUGAUUUUAUGAACGCGAUGACAACAGUAGAGCAACAAAAGGGGAAAAGGACACACUAGGAAGAAAAAAUAAGAAAAAGCAGAAGCGCUUCUUUAAUGGCAUAAUUCAGAACCUUUUCCUACUAUGCAUUCUGCAAAAUACGUCCUUUUUGGGUUGUCAAGCUAAUAGUCCAGGAUAGGGACACAUGCCUCUGCAAAACCUACGGCAACCUCCAGUUCAUGGCGGACAAACUACAGUAUCACAGCAGUCGGCUGUUAUAUAUCUCAAAGGCGAUAAAGAGCAUGGAGGCCCUCCCACCAGAUCACCUGGAGACAAUCUGUAGGACAAUGAAGAUACACCAGAUCGUCAGCGACAGUCCCGAGGAUACUCAGUUGCUUCUGUUCCUUUCCACAUCACUGCACUCCACAGACUGACUCUGUUUGAAAAAAUAGAGGCAGACCAAGAUGGAAAAUCCAACACAUCUCACAGUGCAUUCCAGCCCGUUGAAGAUCUAAGUGAAGCAUUGAUUGGAAAGUGGUGUGGGGUGGAGUGUGAUCAGGACGUUUACCCUGGCAUCGUGCAAGACGUUCACACAGAGAGUGGUGCUCUUGUUAAAACCAUGAGUCGCGUUGGCCCCAACCGUUUUUUGGGGGGCCGAUGAGUGACAACAUCAUAUGGUACAGACCACAGCAUGUGCUUGGACCUGAACCCGACCUCGUGACCAAGAGGUACAUGGAGCUGGAUGGUUGGUCUGAGAGGAACGUGGCCCUAUUUCUAAGCCUUAGAUACUCAUAUACAGUACAAAGCAGGACAUAAAAUCAUGCAUUAAAUAAAACAUGUGCAGCUCUCAAUUAACUUUUCCCUCAAUAUAUAGGUGCUGGAAGUUCUAGUUGUUGCAUCUAAGUGUAGUCAAAGACCAAACAUUGUUCUUAUGUUAAAAAGGUGCUAGUUCCAGUGUUUUAGAAUCUUACUUUGUCUUUUAUUAUUUAAAUGUUUAAACAAUGGUUGUGGUUCAAAAUGUUAGCAAUAAAAUAUUGUUUUCCUACGUUAAUUUUUUUACAUAGACCACAACACAUAUUUCUGAAUAAAUGAGUAUAUGUAUAAUUUACAUUGAUUGAUCAUUUACAUUGAUUGAUUUGUUUUAGAUAGGGAAAUCAUAUGGUUGUUAACAUAAUCUCACAAAAAGGUUGGGUGGAAAUAUCUUAUUUUUCAUAAAUGUUUUCAGCUGUCACCAAGGCGAGUUUAUACAUUCAGGCGUCGUGUUGAAUUAUUCAUUUUAGGAAAACCUUAAUCACUAAAAAUCAUAUUCAAUACAAGUUCAUGUACACAUAAGAAAUGUAUUAAAUGAAAUGAACUUAUUUUUAACUAAAAUGGAUGAUUAAUGAUGCAAAUUACAUUUGUCUGGCUGUCUGGGAAAAAUGACAAAAAUAGUACAAAUG
Molecule: long non-coding RNA, 2403 nt
Organism: Oncorhynchus keta (chum salmon)
Lineage: Eukaryota; Metazoa; Chordata; Actinopteri; Salmoniformes; Salmonidae
Exons: 4
Source: RefSeq, a predicted model, not a curated record